This 478-nucleotide ribosomal RNA is filed under the name Bacteroidetes bacterium enrichment culture clone EE2-V. RNAcentral describes it as "bacterial SSU rRNA". It matches the Rfam family "Bacterial small subunit ribosomal RNA", at positions 28 to 504 of the family's 1533-position model. The record is from RNAcentral. Lineage: Bacteria; Pseudomonadati; Bacteroidota.
GAUGAACGCUAGCGGGAGGCUUAACACAUGCAAGCCGAGGGGUAUUCAGUUGCUUGCAACUGGAGAGACCGGCGCACGGGUGAGUAACGCGUAUGUAACUUGCCUCAUUCAACGGGAUAGCCCGGGGAAACCCGGAUUAAUAUCGUAUAACAUCGGGACAGGCAUCUGUUCGGAUUGAAAGAUUCAUCGGAAUGAGAUAGACAUGCGUAUGAUUAGCUUGUUGGCGGGGUAACGGCCCACCAAGGCGAUGAUCAUUAGGGGUCCUGAGAGGGUGAUCCCCCACACUGGUACUGAGACACGGACCAGACUCCUACGGGAGGCAGCAGUGAGGAAUAUUGGACAAUGGGUGAGAGCCUGAUCCAGCCAUCCCGCGUGCAGGAAGACGGCCUUAUGGGUUGUAAACUGCUUUUAUACAGGAAUAAACCACCUUACGAGUAGGGUGUUGAAGGUACUGUAUGAAUAAGCACCGGCUAACUCC